Parambassis ranga (Indian glassy fish) is the source of this 94-nucleotide small nucleolar RNA. Its record names the gene SNORD16. It matches the Rfam family "Small nucleolar RNA SNORD16". From Rfam's summary of the family: U16 is a member of the C/D class of snoRNA which contain the C (UGAUGA) and D (CUGA) box motifs. NCBI's taxonomy places the organism in Eukaryota, Metazoa, Chordata, Actinopteri, Ambassidae. The record is from Ensembl.
UGCUGUGAUGGUGUAAUUUGCGUCUGAACUUGUGAACAGUUGCCUGCUGUCUCUAAGCUGUCUUAGAGUAUAGAUGUGUGUUAAAUUCUGAGCA